RNAcentral lists this ribosomal RNA (254 nucleotides) under uncultured bacterium. RNAcentral's name for it is "partial 16S ribosomal RNA". It matches the Rfam family "Bacterial small subunit ribosomal RNA", at positions 524 to 776 of the family's 1533-position model. The record is from RNAcentral.
UACGUAGGGGGCGAGCGUUGUCCGGAUUUAUUGGGCGUAAAGAGCUCGUAGGCGGUUUGGCAAGUCGGGUGUGAAAACUCCGGGCUCAACUCGGAGACGCCACUCGAUACUGCUAUGACUUGAGUCCGGUAGGGGAGUGCGGAAUUCCUGGUGUAGCGGUGAAAUGCGCAGAUAUCAGGAGGAACACCGGUGGCGAAGGCGGGUCUCUGGGCCGUAACUGACGCUGAGGAGCGAAAGCGUGGGGAGCGAACAGG